This 245-nucleotide ribosomal RNA is filed under the name uncultured bacterium. Its description in RNAcentral is "partial 16S ribosomal RNA". The record is from RNAcentral.
CUGCUGCCUUCCGUAGGAGUUUGGGCCGUGUCUCAGUCCCAAUGUGGCCGUUCACCCUCUCAGGCCGGCUACUGAUCGUCGGUUUGGUGGGCCGUUACCCCGCCAACUGCCUAAUCAGACGCGGAUCCAUCUCACACCACCUCAGUUUUUCACACUGUCCCAUGCGAGACUGUGCGCUUAUGCGGUAUUAGCAGUCAUUUCUAACUGUUAUCCCCCUGUGUGAGGCAGGUUAUCCACGCGUUACU